Molecule: long non-coding RNA, 226 nt
Organism: Pecten maximus
Lineage: Eukaryota; Metazoa; Mollusca; Bivalvia; Pectinida; Pectinidae
Exons: 2
Source: RefSeq, a predicted model, not a curated record
ACGUAGAGAUGUUUGACGCCACUGUAGAGAUGAUAUAAGAAUUAGAUCAUCAGAAAUUCUGCAGAAAAUCCACCAUCACAACAGAUUCUGAUGACAAGCUCCAUCAGAGGCAACAUAAACUGGAACUGGACGUUAAGAGUUUGAUAUUGCAGAACCAACUUCAUGCAUUGAAAAUAAAAAAAGUGAACAUGAAUAUCAAAAUAAUCAAUAAAAUGAAUUAAUUUGA